GCCGGUUGUGACCGUCGCUUUCGGAAGGCGACGCGAAGCGGCAGGCAGUGCUCGGCUUUCGUCGGCGCGUCGCCGUGACGCCGUCCGGAGGCCGAAGCUUCUCCUUGUCCUCGGCGGACGGGCGGAGGGGGUUCUGAAAUCGAGGUGCGCAAAUAUAGGAUCAUAGCCGGCGACGUGCUUCGGAAACCUGUCGGCAUUUGGGACCAAUUGGUGGAUGAAUGGGGUCUGCAUUAGGAAGUCAAGGAGAACAGGGCUCUUGCACUGGGGGCACCGAGGGUCAUCUUGUGGGAGCAUGACGUAGAUGAAGCAGCGAGGACAGGCAGCAAGAACCAUGGAUGUGGCCUCAGGGCUGUUGGACCACUGAAGGCCAUGCUCGUUCUCUGACGACAGGCAGGAGCUUGGGGAUGACUCCUCAUCAGCCAUCGCCCUCCUGGAGGAGCCCCCUGUUGCAGGAAGCGAGAGGUUCAGUUUCAGGUCAAGGCCCCUAGAGCUCUUCCUGUUGCUGCGGCUCAUCCUUUGGAGAGUGACGAGGCGCUGGAUGCAAGCAGCCGGAGAUGAGAGCGAUGUGAAAUGCUCCGGAAGGAGAGGACUAUGAGCUUUAGAAUGCUCAGAGGUGUUUCUUUGGUGUUGUUGGAGAAGAAAUGGCUGGUAUUUAUAGGGGAAGAAGGAUGGGAGGUCAAUUGGUUUUCUUUAAUGUGACAGUAAGAGCUACGCUCCCAUUUAAUUAUUACUCUCUACUAUCUCAUAGUAGUAGCAAUAGUACAACUGUACGCAUUUUAUUGCCUAUCAUAUUCAUGGUUGGGGAGUGGCAAAGGAAGGAUUGAAUAUGCGUUGGGUGGAAGAGAAGUGCUAGGUGAGAGGUUUUGUGGUGGCUUGUUGGGUCAUAUGCAAAAGAUCAACAAAUCAGAAUGAGGAAAACAGGACCUGGGACACAUAACUACAGAGAAGGCUCGGAGUUGAAUGCGACUUCAGCCCAACUACGGAGAGACAUGGGGGGUUGACCUGAAUGUGGUGUGGGCUCAUAACUGUGGCACUAGGUUAGUAUUAGUACAGGAUAUAGUUUAAAAAUGAUUUUGCAUGUAUAAUUUGUGAUUAGUCGGUGUUUUGGGACCAAUCCCAUGUGCCCUUCUUUAAAUUCAUGGCGCGAUCUAAGGUGUUAACGAAAAUUAGCCCCAUGCUUUAGUCAUGCCGUGUGCGUCCGUUCGUCUGUUGCAACCGGCAAUACUAUUCUUUGUCCAUGGAGAAGUUCGCGGAGCAAUUUAUGGAAAUGUGUAUGGACAACAAGUUUUUCUUUUGAAUU
Molecule: long non-coding RNA, 1300 nt
Organism: Sorghum bicolor (sorghum)
Lineage: Eukaryota; Viridiplantae; Streptophyta; Magnoliopsida; Poales; Poaceae
Exons: 5
Source: RefSeq, a predicted model, not a curated record